RNAcentral lists this long non-coding RNA (427 nucleotides) under Vigna radiata. Its description in RNAcentral is "long non-coding RNA (VRAD_LNC014016)". Lineage: Eukaryota; Viridiplantae; Streptophyta; Magnoliopsida; Fabales; Fabaceae. The record is from RNAcentral.
GAAAAGAAGGAGAAAAAUCCAAUUUCGGGAAGAGAACAUAAGGAAACAAAAAGAAAAAAGGAGUGGGACAAAGAGGCACGUGCACAAAUGAAUGAACAACUUUCUGUGGAAGCUUUUUGUGGUGCAGUGGAGGACCUUUAAGGCAGCUUCAGAAGGGUGGAGAUCAAUUUCCUGGUUACAUUUCCUUUCCCAUUCUUAUUGGACUUUUUUGUUUUCAUUUUAUUUUCUUUGCUUUUAUUUCUUUAGUUUUGGUAUAUUGUUUUAUUAUUGAUGGUUUGCUGUACUCGGUUUUUAAUAAAAAUACAAAAUAUAAGAAUCAUAGAAAGUAAAUAAGCAAAAAUCAAAAAUCAAAAAUAAAAAACAUAAAAAAUAUUAAAACCACGAAAAUUGUUAUAGCGUUUAGCAUCUUUCUUUUUAAAUAUUGUUU